GUUUCUGAGAAUGGAAGUGAGCAGAGAUGAUGUGCAGCAGCUCCUGGCAAGGCUUUGGAAGAGUGAGUGGGGCUUCAUCUUGUGCUCCUCCUUCUAAACAUGAGCAGAGGCCUUGUGGGACCUUGGACCACCAUAGCAAUGAGAUAGAAGGCUCGUCUUCGGCUGCCAGCUCUCUGUGUAAGCCUGGAGUGAAGACAUGACCCGACCUCUAAAGGAGUUAGCCCCACCGCACAAGAAUGGCAGGACCACACAGACCGAACAAGAUGUCCCUCGGAGAUUCAGUGUCGGUGACUGAUGCCUCACAUGGCAGCAGCAGAUCCACCCUGCCUCCAGGCACGGAGGAUAGACUGACUCACAGGAGAGUGGUGGUAUCUGCUGGAUCCCCAAGAUUUCACCAGCUUCUGAGAGCAGCUGGAUAACUAGAGUAACUAGAGUGUCUCCCAUUCCUUAGAAUAGGUUUUGUCUUCCCAAACAGUAAUCAUGCAUUCCUACCUGACCAUGGGAUUUUUGCACCCAGAAACUAAAGCAGUUGAGUCCUACAAGAACUCAUCAGGAAGGCAGUAGGCAGGCUGUGCAUCCAGCCAGCCAUGUUGGGCCUCCAGAGAUAAAUGCGAACUGACAUUCUUCUACAGUUCUGCUUGGCAUUCAUCGGGCUCUUGGGAAGUAUUUGUUAAAUAUGUGGGGUUUGUUUUAAGAUGAGAAUCAUGGUUGGAAUGCAGAUCAGUUGUCAAAUGCUUGCUUAGAGUUCACAGGGCACUGAAUAGGUCUGAUCACCAGUAGGAAAGAGAUGUAGAUAGGAGAGAGGGAGGAGGAGGAUUUGAUCACGAAAUGAGGGCAUCCAAAAAUUAUACCCACUGUCAUUAUCAUUGCAUGAAACAAAAUAUUCUAUAAUCAGCAACAUAGGAAGGCUGGGGCUGAGGUUCAGUUGGUAGAGUUCGAGCAAGGCAUGCAGGAAGCUCUGGGUUCAAUGCCCAGCACUACAUAAAGCAGGCAUGACCAGGCACACCUGCAAUCCUAGCAUUCAGGAGGUAGAAGCAAGAUCAGAAACUCAAGGCCAUCCUUAGCUAACGUCUUGGUUACUUUCAGCUGUGAUUAACAAGAUGCCAGAACUACCAAAGCAAAAACUUUGCAUUACUGGGACUAUUGAUGCUGGUUAGCUGGAGCUAAGAAAUUAGCGGUGAUUAAGAAGAGACCAGUGUCCCUGAGGUAGUCUCAACUGCAGCAUCAGCCUGUGGGAGUUUCUGCAAUUGUCUUGAUUUUCAGUUGACAUGGGAGGGCUAAAUGAAACCUGGGAGCAAAGGGUAACCAGUGGUCCUAAGUGGUUUUGGCUUUAGUUGCUGCUUGAGUUCCUGCCCUGACUUCCUCAGUGAUGGGACUGUGACCUGGAAGUGUAAGGUGAAAUAAUUCUUUCCUCCUCUAAAUUAAUUUUUGGCCAUGGUGUUUAUCACAGCAGCCCAAAGCAAAGUAGAAUGGUUAUGUAGUGAGUCCAAGGCCUGUUGGAAUUCCAUGAAAAUAUUUCUCAAAACUCAAAAGUACCACCCCAGUGAGAGAAAGAGACAGACAGAAAAUGAAAGAGGAUUAAUAUAAUCUACAAAUAUCUUAGGCAGGUAUGCGCUGGACACUCUGAAUAACACACACCCUGUGUUUGUGUUUUCCUGGUUGUCCUUCAGUGGUGACCCCAUGGAGGCUGCCACAGGCUAUGCCCCUGUGAAUAGAAGUGUCGGGUACCAGAAAGGUGGUGCAGCCUAGGCCCUGGUUCUGCCUUGCCCUGCAUUGUUUCUGUCAGCUGCCAGGCCACAAUCCACGUUUGCAGCUAUGGAAUAGGAACCUCAUAAAGGCUCUUCAUCCUUUAACACUGUGAAGCAGAUAUUCCCAGAGUGCCACCCAAGAACACUUGCUGUGGCCCUAGUUUGGUCUUCAGGAACCAGAGGCUAUGAAGAGAGUGGAAAGCCAUGUGUGGGAACGAUAUGGCUUCAGUCACCAGCUCUGUUCCCCUCCACCAUGGUGUGGUAACUCAGAGCUCCAAGCUAAACCUGGAUCCCUGCUGUGUCAAAUGAAGGAAGCUGGUGAAGAGCCUGUGCCAGAUCAGAAGCACAUGUGAGCCCAAGUUACAGACUGUAUACUAAGCUAGUGCUUGUUUCUAUU
RNAcentral lists this long non-coding RNA (2145 nucleotides) under Mus musculus (house mouse). RNAcentral's name for it is "RIKEN cDNA 4833405L11 gene". The record is from RNAcentral. Lineage: Eukaryota; Metazoa; Chordata; Mammalia; Rodentia; Muridae.